GUGCCAGCAGCCGCGGUAAUACGGAGGAUGCGAGCGUUAUCCGGAUUUAUUGGGUUUAAAGGGUGCGUAGGUGGUUUGUUAAGUUUGUGGUGAAAGCGUGCGGCUCAACCGUACCGAGCCAUGAAAACUGGCGAACUUGAGUGCAAACGAGGUAGGCGGAAUGUGACGUGUAGCGGUGAAAUGCUUAGAUAUGUCACAGAACUCCGAUUGCGAAGGCAGCUUACCAGCAUGCUACUGACACUGAGGCACGAAAGCGUGGGUAUCAAACAGGAUUAGAUACCCUGGUAGUCC
Molecule: ribosomal RNA, 291 nt
Filed under: uncultured prokaryote
Description: partial 16S ribosomal RNA
Rfam family: Bacterial small subunit ribosomal RNA
Source: RNAcentral